GGGAUAUUAAAACGCACUAAAACAAACUAACAAGGACUAAACAUGAAAAACGAUCAAAAUACAAACACUAGUACAUAACACAUUGUAAAACACAGCAUAACACACGAAAGACGUAGCAAUACGAACCCAACCAAAUACAUAGGGGACCUCGUUAGACAUUUUAAUACCCAAUAUUUGUCCCUAACUUUGUGACUAUUAAAUUGAAUAUGAUUAUCAAAGAUAAAAACAAUAUAUUCACAUAUGUAAAUUACAAAGACAAGGUGAAGGUUGUUUGAUUUUCAGUACCAAAAAAAAGCAUGAUAUUGUGUGCACCAUUUAUUUCAUUUAACAAUGUUUAAAGACUUCUGUCAUAUUGUCCUCAAACGAUAUCCUCUGAUUAAAUGUUUGUAUCUACAAUAAAC
This 401-nucleotide long non-coding RNA is filed under the name Mytilus galloprovincialis (Mediterranean mussel). The record is from RNAcentral. Lineage: Eukaryota; Metazoa; Mollusca; Bivalvia; Mytilida; Mytilidae.